AAUCAAGCGCGAGAAGGGCGUUUGGUGGAUGCCUUGGCAGUAAGAGGCGAUGAAGGACGUGAUACUCUGCGAUAAGUCAUGGUUAGCCGAGAAUAGGCUUUGAUCCAUGAAUCUCCGAAUGGGGCAACCCACCUGAUACUCGGUUAUUAUUAGCCCUCGUGGUUAUUGAUAAUCGGGUAAAACAGGUACUUAUUACCUGAAUACAUAGGGUUUUAAGAGCAAACCCGGGGAACUGAAACAUCUAAGUACCCGGAGGAAAGGACAUCAAUAGAGACUCCCCUAGUAGCGGCGAGCGAACGGGGACCAGCCGAGCCUUGAGUGUGAAUAGAAUGGUCUGGAAAGACCAACCAUAGUGGGUGACAGUCCCGUAUAUGAAGCACGAUAGGACGUAUCAAGUAGGGCGGAACACGUGAAAUUCUGUCUGAAGAUCGGGGGACCACCCCCGAAGGCUAAGUACUCCUUACUGACCGAUAGUGAACCAGUACCGUGAGGGAAAGGUGAAAAGCACCCCGACGAGGGGAGUGAAACAGUACCUGAAACCGGACGCCUACAAACAGUCGGAGCUUGACUGGACUCUAAUGAUAAUCUGCGCCAUGACCGUUCGGAAACGAAUGGAGAAAAUCAUGGCUGACGGAACCUUUGCAGUAUUGAUGCUCGUACUCGGUCUGACCGACAUGAGCCGCAACCACUGCGGCACCGAGAGCGGGUGCCUUGGCAAGUCGGAGACGACGCCAAGGUUUGCGAUCUCGGCAGGCCAGGUUCUUGAGCGGCGCGCAAGCGAAGCCAGCGAAAUCUAUCUGCGCUACGAUCUGGGUCACAACCGUGGCCCCUUCGGAAGUGCGGCGGGACUUUCGGUUGGCGAGCAUGGUGAGACAUGGGUUGGCUUCGGCCAGACCUAUACGAUCCAGAUGCGGAACGCGCCGAUCUUUGCGCAAUUGCACUCCAUGCCGGGUCUGUACCUGGAUAAUGGAGGGUUCGACCUGGGUGGUCCGAUCGAGUUUAGAUCGGGGAUCGAGGUUGGCUACGAGAACGACCGCGGUUGGCGGUUUGGUCUCAGCUACGACCAUCGGUCGAAUGCCGGGAUCUACGACGACAACCCCGGGAUCGAGACCGUGCAGUUCCGUGUCAGUGUUCCUACGCGGUAGGGAUGCGGCAGCAAAACAUAAUCAGCACCUGGAAUUGAUAGGGGGUUGCCUCCCGGGACAUUGCUUUGCAAUGCCCUGCCGGCAACUUGCCAAUCAUUUGCAGGCAAAUGAUUGUCAUUAGUGUCCAGUCUUGUGACGGCGUACCUUUUGUAUAAUGGGUCAUCGACUUGGUCUAUCUAGCAAGCUUAAGCCGUUAGGUGUAGGCGCAGCGAAAGCGAGUCUUAAUAGGGCGUCGAGUUAGAUGGAUCAGACCCGAAACCGAGUGAUCUAGGCAUGACCAGGAUGAAGGUAAGGUAACACUUACUGGAGGUCCGAACCCACACCUGUUGAAAAAGGUCGGGAUGAGUUGUGCCUAGGGGUGAAAGGCCAAUCAAACUCGGAGAUAGCUGGUUCUCUGCGAAAUCUAUUUAGGUAGAGCGUCAUCCGAAUACCCCGGGGGGUAGAGCACUGGAUGGGUAAUGGGGCCCCACAGGCUUACUGAUCCUAACCAAACUCCGAAUACCCGGGAGUACUAGAUGGCAGACACACUGCGGAUGCUAACGUCCGUAGUGAAGAGGGAAACAACCCUAACCUCCAGCUAAGGCCCCUAAUUCAUGGCUAAGUGGGAAAGCAGGUGGGACGACCAAAACAACCAGGAGGUUGGCUUAGAAGCAGCCAUCCUUUAAAGAUAGCGUAACAGCUCACUGGUCUAAACAAGUUGUCCUGCGGCGAAGAUGUAACGGGGCUCAAGCCAUGAGCCGAAGCUGAGGAUGCCGUAAGGCAUGGUAGCAGAGCGUAGUGUGACAUAGUCUCAUGUGUCCUUACCCACUUCGGUGGGAUUGGACACAAGAGGCUUUCUGUGAAGCCGGCGCGUGAGCGAUCCGGUGGAGAGAUCACUAGCGAGAAUGAUGACAUGAGUAGCGACAAAGAGUGUGAGAGACACUCUCGCCGAAAGUCCAAGGGUUCCUGCUUAAAGCUAAUCUGAGCAGGGUAAGCCGACCCCUAAGGCGAGGCCGAAAGGCGUAGUCGAUGGGAACCAGGUUAAUAUUCCUGGGCCAGAUGGAAGUGACGGAUCAUGAAGGUUGUUCACCCUUAUUGGAUUGGGUGGGCCGCUCAUUGGUCCCUGGAAAUAGCUCCAUCAUGAGAUCGUACCCUAAACCGACACAGGUGGACUGGUAGAGAAUACCAAGGCGCUUGAGAGAACGAUGUUGAAGGAACUCGGCAAAAUACCUCCGUAAGUUCGCGAGAAGGAGGCCCGGUUCCUAGGCAACUAGGGGCUGGGGGCACAAACCAGGGGGUGGCGACUGUUUACUAAAAACACAGGGCUCUGCGAAGUCGCAAGACGACGUAUAGGGUCUGACGCCUGCCCGGUGCCUGAAGGUUAAAAGGAGGGGUGCAAGCUCUGAAUUGAAGCCCAGGUAAACGGCGGCCGUAACUAUAACGGUCCUAAGGUAGCGAAAUUCCUUGUCGGGUAAGUUCCGACCUGCACGAAUGGCGUAACGACUUCCCCGCUGUCUCCAACAUCGACUCAGCGAAAUUGAAUUGCCGGUCAAGAUGCCGGCUACCCGCGGUUAGACGGAAAGACCCCGUGCACCUUCACUACAGCUUCGCACUGGCAUCAGACACAACAUGUGCAGGAUAGGUGGUAGGCUUCGAAGCAGGGACGCCAGUCUCUGUGGAGCCUCCCUUGAGAUACCACCCUUGUUCUGUUUGAUGUCUAACCGCGGUCCGUUAUCCGGAUCCGGGACCCUGCGUGGCGGGUAGUUUGACUGGGGCGGUCGCCUCCUAAAGCGUAACGGAGGCGCGCGAAGGUUGGCUCAGAGCGGUCGGAAAUCGCUCGUUGAGUGCAAUGGCAUAAGCCAGCCUGACUGCGAGACUGACAAGUCGAGCAGAGACGAAAGUCGGCCAUAGUGAUCCGGUGGUCCCAAGUGGGAGGGCCAUCGCUCAACGGAUAAAAGGUACGCCGGGGAUAACAGGCUGAUACUGCCCAAGAGUCCAUAUCGACGGCAGUGUUUGGCACCUCGAUGUCGGCUCAUCUCAUCCUGGGGCUGGAGCAGGUCCCAAGGGUAUGGCUGUUCGCCAUUUAAAGAGGUACGUGAGCUGGGUUUAGAACGUCGUGAGACAGUUCGGUCCCUAUCUGCCGUGGGUGUAGGAGAUUUGAGAAGAGUUGCCCCUAGUACGAGAGGACCGGGGUGAACGAACCACUGGUGGACCUGUUGUUGCGCCAGCAGCAGUGCAGGGUAGCUAUGUUCGGACAGGAUAACCGCUGAAGGCAUCUAAGCGGGAAGCCCCCUUCAAAACAAGAUCUCCCUGAGGGCCGUGGAAGACCACCACGUCGAUAGGCCAGAGAUGUAAGCAUGGUAACAUGUUCAGUUGACUGGUACUAAUUGCCCGAUAGGCUUGAUUUG
RNAcentral lists this ribosomal RNA (3532 nucleotides) under Pacificoceanicola oceani. RNAcentral describes it as "Tropicibacter oceani 23S ribosomal RNA". It matches the Rfam family "Bacterial large subunit ribosomal RNA". The record is from RNAcentral. Lineage: Bacteria; Pseudomonadati; Pseudomonadota; Alphaproteobacteria; Rhodobacterales; Roseobacteraceae.